Molecule: transfer RNA, 93 nt
Filed under: uncultured Acidimicrobiales bacterium
Lineage: Bacteria; Bacillati; Actinomycetota; Acidimicrobiia; Acidimicrobiales
Description: tRNA-Leu
Source: RNAcentral
CCGCCGGUCAGGACAUCGGAGAGGGCUUCCGCAGCCGAGGGCUGCGGGGUGCUCCCGGGGUCCGACGAUGGGGUUCCACCCUCCGCCGGCGGG